ACAGAGCUACAAGCUACAUGUCCCUGGCCCCUCUCCCUAGGAGCACAGAGUUCCAGUGAAGAACCUAAAGCACAAACACUGACAGCUGUAAGAUGAGGAAACAGAAGCUGGGAUAUGUGAGUAAACAUUUCCAAGGUCCUGCAGCUAAUCAAUGGUUGACAACUUCUUUCCUCUGCCUAUGUUGCCAUCCAUGUCAUGGUUUGUGUCAAGACUCUAGGAGAAGUCUACCAUCAGCACCACAGCUACUGUGCACAAAUCCAGAAUGCCAGACUGAAGUCAGAAGGAAAGAGAUGAUGCAGCUCAUUGCUGAUGCUGAGAUCCAACGUCCAGUGCCUGAGUACCCCUGGAUUCUGAGCACUAGGGGCUGGACUGUGGAGACCAUCAGUUCAUAACAUCCUGUCCCUGCUCCCUGCUGUAGAUGACUGAGACCAGGGUUCUUAAACAAGGGAGAAGCACUCUCAUACCCCUAGAACAAGAUGAACAAAAGAAGGAGGAAAAAUCUUGACCUCCGUAAGAUCCAGGAUGGCACGUGCAAGGCACUGACACAGCAUCUGCCGGCAUCACUGACUCUCCUGGACCCCAGAAGCCCAGUUCCCCAGGCUCUGAAACCCUGCAGCAAUGAAAAGGAAGCACAGGCAAACCAUAAGGAAGAUAAUUUUUCUACUAAAAAAUAAAUAGAAAUGCAUCCUUAGAGGCAGGUUUCAUGAGGACACAGAGAAUCCGGUUUUGUGUGUGCCUGAUUUCGUUUUUCUGUCAAAGAGAUACAAAACAAUCAACUGAGUUAUCUUGAACUUACAAAGAUUAAAAAUAAUCAAUUCCUGUUACUAUUUUCAAUUUUUCCCCCAUUUUACUUCUUUAGGUAUGAAGAAAUGUAGCCUAUUAAAACCUGGAUUAAUAAAAACCUUUCAUUAACUUUUAGAA
This 921-nucleotide long non-coding RNA is filed under the name Homo sapiens (human). RNAcentral describes it as "long independently transcribed non-coding RNA 3007, transcript variant 5 (LINC03007)". Lineage: Eukaryota; Metazoa; Chordata; Mammalia; Primates; Hominidae. The record is from RNAcentral.